GAAUGUAUCAGCAAUCUGACUGCAACAUCUGUCACCCCAGUGAUCGCCAGGGUUGAUUUGGCUGAUCUGGCUGGCUAGGCGGGUGUCCCACCCUCCCUCACCACUGCAUGUUGAGUCCCUCCCAAAGCUGCGCACUCAGUCAAAAAGGACAAUCACCUCUGAAAGAGGAGAACCGUUUCCUCGGUCAAGGGGAUAGGAGUAGUUUCCCUCCCCUGCUAGAACUCCAAACAAGCACUCAAGAUUAGAAAGAGGGGAGGAGAGGAUAGCUCAAUGCAAAGGCUCAGACUU
This 288-nucleotide small nuclear RNA is filed under the name Chinchilla lanigera (long-tailed chinchilla). RNAcentral's name for it is "7SK RNA (ENSCLAG00000022054.1)". It matches the Rfam family "7SK RNA". From Rfam's summary of the family: 7SK was discovered as an abundant small nuclear RNA in the mid-70s but a possible function has only recently been suggested. Two independent studies have found that 7SK RNA binds the CDK9/cyclin T complex (known as elongation factor P-TEFb). Lineage: Eukaryota; Metazoa; Chordata; Mammalia; Rodentia; Chinchillidae. The record is from RNAcentral.